GUUGAUAAGGUUAAGUGAAUAAGGGCGCACGGUGGAUGCCUUGGCACUAGGAGCCGAUGAAGGACGGGACUAACACCGAUAUGCUUUGGGGAGCUGUAAGUAAGCUAUGAUCCAGAGAUUUCCGAAUGGGGGAACCCAAUAUCUUUUAUAGGAUAUUACUUUUCAGUGAAUACAUAGCUGAUUAGAGGUAGACGCAGAGAACUGAAACAUCUUAGUACCUGCAGGAAGAGAAAGAAAAUUCGAUUCCCUGAGUAGCGGCGAGCGAAACGGGAAGAGCCCAAACCAACAAGCUUGCUUGUUGGGGUUGUAGGACUCCAAUAUGGUAGUCUGUUAGUAUAGUUGAAGGAUUUGGAAAAUUCCGCUAAAGAGGGUGAAAGCCCCGUAGACGAAAUGCUAACAACACCUAGGAGGAUCCUGAGUACGGCGGAACACGAGAAAUUCCGUCGGAAUCCGCGGGGACCAUCCCGCAAGGCUAAAUACUCCCUAGUGACCGAUAGUGAACCAGUACCGUGAGGGAAAGGUGAAAAGCACCCCGGAAGGGGAGUGAAAUAGAUCCUGAAACCGUGUGCCUACAACAAGUCAAAGCUCGUUAAUGAGUGAUGGCGUGCCUUUUGUAGAAUGAACCGGCGAGUUACGAUUGCAUGCGAGGUUAAGUCGAAGAGACGGAGCCGCAGCGAAAGCGAGUCUGAAUAGGGCGAAUGAGUAUGUAGUCGUAGACCCGAAACCAUGUGAUCUACCCAUGUCCAGGUUGAAGGUGCGGUAAAACGCACUGGAGGACCGAACCCACGUACGUUGAAAAGUGCGGGGAUGAGGUGUGGGUAGCGGAGAAAUUCCAAACGAACUUGGAGAUAGCUGGUUCUCUCCGAAAUAGCUUUAGGGCUAGCCUCGGAAUUGAGAAUGAUGGAGGUAGAGCACUGUUUGGACUAGGGGCCCAUCUCGGGUUACCGAAUUCAGAUAAACUCCGAAUGCCAUUCAUUUAUAUCCGGGAGUCAGACUGCGAGUGAUAAGAUCCGUAGUCGAAAGGGAAACAGCCCAGACCACCAGCUAAGGUCCCAAAAUAUAUGUUAAGUGGAAAAGGAUGUGGGGUUGCACAGACAACUAGGAUGUUGGCUUAGAAGCAGCCACCAUUUAAAGAGUGCGUAAUAGCUCACUAGUCGAGUGACCCUGCGCCGAAAAUGUACCGGGGCUAAACAUAUUACCGAAGCUGUGGACUACACCAUUAGGUGUAGUGGUAGGAGAGCGUUCUAAGGGCGUUGAAGGUCGAUCGUGAGGACGGCUGGAGCGCUUAGAAGUGAGAAUGCCGGUAUGAGUAGCGAAAGACAGGUGAGAAUCCUGUCCACCGUAUGACUAAGGUUUCCUGGGGAAGGCUCGUCCGCCCAGGGUUAGUCGGGACCUAAGCCGAGGCCGAUAGGCGUAGGCGAUGGACAACAGGUUGAUAUUCCUGUACCAGUUGUUUUUGUUUGAGCAAUGGAGGGACGCAGUAGGCUAAGGAAUGCAUGCGAUUGGAAGUGCAUG
Molecule: ribosomal RNA, 1515 nt
Filed under: Enterococcus faecalis
Lineage: Bacteria; Bacillati; Bacillota; Bacilli; Lactobacillales; Enterococcaceae
Description: bacterial LSU rRNA
Rfam family: Bacterial large subunit ribosomal RNA
Source: RNAcentral